RNAcentral lists this unclassified non-coding RNA (3184 nucleotides) under Hevea brasiliensis (rubber tree). Lineage: Eukaryota; Viridiplantae; Streptophyta; Magnoliopsida; Malpighiales; Euphorbiaceae. The record is from RNAcentral.
UGUUUUUCUCUCUUUUUCAAUUUGUUGCUGCAAAUUUCUUAAGAGUUUGAGUCUUGACAUCAAACAACGCGCUAUGACUCUCUGCAACAAAUUUCUUAAGAGUUGAGUCUUGACAUCAAACAACACGCUAUGACUCUCUGCUUCCACCUCAGGCUCAGCAUCUGCCUUUUAAGUUUUCUUGUUACUCUCUGUGUUUCGAAAACACACUGGUUCAGUUCUUCACCUGGCAUCUUCUCUCCCACGCAAUGCUUCACCCAUUCUUUUCUCUGUCACUCCUGUGUCUCCUUUUUUCUACUACCAUAGCAGAUGACUCCAUCGCCAUGUCAAAGCUAGCAACUGCCCUCGACCCUGUCCCCCAGAGCUGGGCCACCGAUAACAACGCUGAAUACUGCAAAUGGAAUGGGGUCCGAUGCGACGCCUCCAACCGCGUCGUAGAAAUCAUGCUUUCCAAUGAAAACCUCUAUGGCACUCUCCCAUCUGAACUCUCUACCCUCUCGCACCUCCAAAUACUCUAUCUCCAGCAGAACCAUCUUUCCGGUCCUCUCCCUUCUCUCGCCAAUCUAAGCUUGCUCCAAGAACUACGUCUUGAAGAUAACAGCUUUAGUUUUAUCCCUCAAGGCUUCUUUCAAGGACUUCCCAGCUUGACUGACUUUCGCAUAAGCCAGAAUACAAAUUUAGAUCCUUGGACUAUCCCUGUUCAUAUUGCUGAAUCUGGAGGUCUAAUAAUUUUCGAGGCAACUCAUGCUAACAUUGAGGGGACUAUACCUGACAUGUUUGCCUCGCUUCCAGGAUUGCAGAAUCUGGACCUAGCUUACAACAAUUUGACAGGAACUUUGCCUGCAUCAUUUGCAAAUUCAGCAAUCCAGAACUUGAGACUCAACUACCAGCAGAUGGGGUUGUCAGGUACCAUUGAUGUUCUAUCGUCGAUGACACAGUUAAAUCAGGUUUGGCUCAUGGGGAAUCAGUUUACUGGCUCAAUUCCAGAUUUCUCAAAAUGCGAGUUUUUGUUCGAUUUACAGCUAAGAGAAAACAAGUUUACAGGGAUUGUGCCAGCCUCCUUGAUAACACUUCCUCGUUUGCUAAAUGUUUCUUUAUCAAACAACAAACUGCAAGGUCCUGUCCCCAAGUUUCCAAGCCAUAUUUCGUUACAUAGCGAUGCUAAUAAUUUUUGUGUGGCAACUCCUGGUGUUCCUUGUAAUCCACAGGUGAAAACAAUGCUGGAAAUUGCAGGUGCUGUGGGAUAUCAGGAGAUACUGUCCGAUUCUUGGCGAGGAAAUGACCCUUGCAGUAAUUGGGAAUUCGUUACCUGCGAGGAACAGAAUAUUAGCACCAUCAACUUUGGAAAGCAACAUUUUUCAGGAACUAUAUCUCCAGCAUUUGUCAAUCUUACAGCUUUGACGAAUUUGUAUCUGAACGAUAAUAAUUUGACAGGUUCCAUUCCUGAUAGCUUGACAAAAUUGACUCAACUCAAGGUUCUUGAUGUCUCCAAUAACAAUCUUUAUGGGAAAAUCCCAGCCUUUUCAUCUUCAGUGAAGUUGAUUGCAAGGCCAGGGAAUCCCUCCCUUGGGAUAGACACAGGUUCAGGUGGGAAUUCUACUGGAAAAGGAAGUAGAGGUAAUUGGGGGCCAGGGAAUCCCUCCCUUGGGAUAGACACAGGUUCAGGUGGGAAUUCUACUGGAAAAGGAAGUAGAGGUAAUUGGGUAUUGCCAUCUGUAAUUUCUGGUGCUUUUAUUGCUGUUAUCUCCUUCAUUGCUUUUGGUUUGUUGGUGCUGUUCAAGUAUAAUGGGGUGUCAAGGAAAGUGAACCAUCAGGAGAAUAUGACUGCACAAGCCAAGCAAAAGAAUUGUCAUGUUAUUGGGGGACAUGCUGAUUUUUCGAUGCAACUUAUUCGACAAGUGACCGAUAAUUUUAGUGAGAACAAUAUUUUGGGUAAGGGAGGUUUUGGUGUGGUUUAUAAAGGUGAAUUGCACGAAGGAACUAAAAUUGCUGUGAAGAGAAUGAAAGCUCCAACAAUGGCUAACACGAAAGGAAUGAAUGAGUUUCAAGCUGAGAUAGCAGUGCUUUCAAAAGUAAGGCACAGGCACUUGGUUUCUCUUUUGGGUUACUGUGUACAUGGCAUUGAGGGUUUCUUGGUCUAUGAGUACAUGCCUCGGGGGACUCUGGCACAACAUUUGUUUGAAUGGCGUGAACGCGGAUACCCUCCUCUUACCUGGAAGCAGAGGGUCAGCAUUGCACUGGAUGUGGCGCGAGGAGUGGAAUACCUGCACAGUUUAGCUCAACAGAGUCUAAGUUUCAUUCAUAGAGAUCUGAAGCCUUCAAAUAUACUUCUUGGGGAUGAUAUGAGGGCUAAGGUCUCUGACUUCGGUUUGGUUAAAAAUGCAUCAGAUGGAAAGAAUUCUUUGGAGACAAGAGUGGCAGGAACAUUUGGCUAUCUUGCACCUGAAUAUGCUAGUAAGCGAAGGCUUAAAUAUUUUCAAGAUGCUGAAUUCUCUUCCUUUAUCCUUAUAUGCUUCUCCAUUCCAGUCUCUAUAAAAAAUUUUCUUGUGGCCUGCAAAAAUUUUGAAUUAUGUUGCAGUAACGAAGUUUUCAGUUUUCUUUGUUCUAAUAUGAAAUUAUUUACUGGACAGAAACUGGAAAAGUGACAAGGAAGGUGGAUGUUUAUGCAUUUGGAGCAAUUUUGAUGGAGAUGAUUACAGGUAGAAAAGCAAUAGAUGAUACAAUGGAAGAGGAAGGGUGGAUGCAUAUGCAUUUGGUGACAUGGUUCCGCGAGGUCCUGAUAAACAAGGAGAACAUCUCAAAUGCAAUUGACCAAGCCAUCAAUCCAGACGAGGAGACCUUAGGGAGCAUUUGCGUAGUGGCUGAAUUAGCAGGGCAUUGCACCACCCCUAACCGCGACCAAAGACCAGACAUGGGCCAUGCAGUCUAUGUCUUGGCACCUCUUGUAGAACCGUGGAAACCUACCAGCCAGGAAGAAGAGGAUCAACACACUUUUGAAGUUCCACAAUAUAUCUCUUGAACUUGGAAAACAACAUAUAGGAGUGUAGUACACUUAUGCUAAUGCUAUUCAGGCAUUAACUAAAACUUACAGGAUAACAUUUAAUUCUUAGUUUUUUAACUUUUUAUUAAACAUAUUUUAAUCUAAGGCAGAAGAAACAAAAUGGAUUGAAACUUGAAAACAUUUCAG